This 585-nucleotide ribosomal RNA is filed under the name uncultured bacterium. RNAcentral describes it as "bacterial SSU rRNA". It matches the Rfam family "Bacterial small subunit ribosomal RNA", at positions 338 to 916 of the family's 1533-position model. The record is from RNAcentral.
CCUACGGGAGGCAGCAGUGGGGAAUUUUGGACAAUGGGCGAAAGCCUGAUCCAGCAAUGCCGCGUGAGUGAAGAAGGCCUUCGGGUUGUAAAGCUCUUUUGUCAGGGAAGAAACGGUGAGAGCUAAUAUCUCUUUCUAAUGACGGUACCUGAAGAAUAAGCACCGGCUAACUACGUGCCAGCAGCCGCGGUAAUACGUAGGGUGCAAGCGUUAAUCGGAAUUACUGGGCGUAAAGCGUGCGCAGGCGGUUUUGUAAGUCUGAUGUGAAAUCCCCGGGCUCAACCUGGGAAUUGCAUUGGAGACUGCAAGGCUAGAAUCUGGCAGAGGGGGGUAGAAUUCCACGUGUAGCAGUGAAAUGCGUAGAUAUGUGGAGGAACACCGAUGGCGAAGGCAGCCCCCUGGGUCAAGAUUGACGCUCAUGCACGAAAGCGUGGGGAGCAAACAGGAUUAGAUACCCUGGUAGUCCACGCCCUAAACGAUGUCUACUAGUUNUCGGGUCUUAAUUGACUUGGUAACGCAGCUAACGCGUGAAGUAGACCGCCUGGGGAGUACGGUCGCAAGAUUAAAACUCAAAGGAAUUGACGG